Molecule: non-coding RNA, 84 nt
Filed under: Halalkalibacter krulwichiae
Lineage: Bacteria; Bacillati; Bacillota; Bacilli; Caryophanales; Bacillaceae
Description: Bacillus krulwichiae c-di-GMP-II sequence
Rfam family: Cyclic di-GMP-II riboswitch aptamer
Source: Rfam by way of RNAcentral
AAUAGUUUGGAAAGCAUAGAAAUACGACUUUUAUUUGGGCACCUUAGUCGUAUUGAGCGAUUGGUGCAACCGGCCUUUUAUGUU